GAGGUGGGAGGAUCUCUUGAGCAUGGGAGGUCAAGGCUGCAGUGAGCUGUGAUCAUACCACUGCACUCCAGCCUGGGUGACACAGCAAGACCCUGUC
This 97-nucleotide microRNA precursor is filed under the name Macaca nemestrina (pig-tailed macaque). RNAcentral's name for it is "miRNA (ENSMNEG00000001871.1)". Lineage: Eukaryota; Metazoa; Chordata; Mammalia; Primates; Cercopithecidae. The record is from RNAcentral.